This is a long non-coding RNA of Dreissena polymorpha, 1827 nucleotides long. RefSeq lists it as uncharacterized. Lineage: Eukaryota; Metazoa; Mollusca; Bivalvia; Myida; Dreissenidae. The transcript has 3 exons. The record is from RefSeq and is a predicted model, not a curated record.
ACAUCGUGUACUGAUGGAUGUUUUCGAUCGAAGAAGGUUCGGAAAUGAUAUUGUCACAUGAAUAAAAUAGGUAAGUGAAAGAUAUAUGUGUAUUCUGGCUUUGUAAUUAAUUUUCGCGACUCGCAGAUUUGACCCGGAAGUAAAUUGUACGAUAGCGAAUUGUUUACAUGAAAUGGUGGCAGAUUUAAAUUUGACCUUUAAAUAGCAUGUCUCAAUUUAGUAACACCAGCACUAUUCGAUAUAAAAUUUGACAAGACCAGGACAUUUCGUUUUUAAAUGAUUUAUCUAAUGUAAAUGAGCUUUAUUUUGAACUUCUCAACCCGCUACUCAAGAUUUGUUUGAUGUGUUAGAAGAUGAUGAAAAUGUAAUAAACUACUCAUCAUUUACUUUUUAUUGUUGUCUGUAUACGUGUGUGUCAGUGUUCACAUGUGGAGGAUAUCAUUCUCGUCUAAUAUCAAUCUUUUAUCAUAAGACAGUAACCAUGCAUUAUCUAAAUGUAUCAAACCACCUAUUAAUUAAUAAGAAAAAAGGAACUAUUUGGGUAUCUCUAGUAAGUUAUUGUCGUUUAUUUAUUAUUAGUCUUCUGUUUCACAGCAAAGCAGGUGUUUUACCUCGCAGACGAAAGCCAGUCACAUGGUUAAGGUGUAAAUGCUGUGGUCAGCCAGGUUCACCACUACCUCAAAACAUACGGUCUUGGCGAACAGCAUGCUCACUUUCAGUGUGACAACUGUUGCGGCCAAAAUAAAAACUACGUAGUGAUCUGGUACCUUCUGUGGAGAGUUCUUGUUUACACAGAAACAUCACACUAAGCUUUAUAUCAGUAGGACAUACGAAGUUAACACCAGAUUGGCACUUUGGCAUCUGGAAUUCUAAGUGGAGAAACUUCAAUGCAGAAACAUUGUUUGAUGUCGCAGCGUCUCUGGGGUUAUCGUCAAGGACGGGCCACAACAUUCCCCAGCUUGCGGGGGACACUUCGAAUCCUGUUGUGUUUUACGAUUGGAAGGAUUAUCUUUCGACAUUGUUUCAACCCAUAAAGAAUGUCACCAAAUUUCUCCAAUUCCAUGUGUCAGCGGAAGAUCCGGGUGUUGUGGAGUGCAGGGAAUUUAGUGACUCACCAAUAGUCAGAAUCACUCUCAGGAAGGUCUCAAAAGUGAAUGUUAAUGUAAGCUGUGACGACCUGCCAUAAGACAUGUUUGCGAACGGGCUUGAUCUGGACUGUCAAGGGUACCAUUUGAACACAUUCGUGAAUUCUGUCGAACAGAUGAAGCCACAAACUUUACAUGUCCGAAACCGGCUACUGGUAAGCGACAAAAAACAGACUUUGCUUCCAAAAAACAGAAGAUGCAUUAAGAGGCACAUCUGAUCUUCUCUGAUUAUGCCACAACAGUUACAUACAUAAUGUAUCAGUGAUUAUUUUGGCCAAGGUAUUGGGUGAUAUAUUUUCCCCCAAACAGUGCAAAAAAUCCUCUAUUCUGAGGAAAGCUAAUACAUGUACAUGUAUAUGAGUGCUAAAUCUGUCAGUUGAUACAGGUUUUGAAGUGUUCAAUACAAUAGUUUUGUUCUAAUUGCACAACCUUGUUUUCAAGCUUUUUGAAUCUCAUUUUUACAAAACAAAAAUAAAUUUUUAAUGUUACUUUGCAAUUAUUUUCAACUUAUGGACACAGACUGCCUUUCCGAAAAACCGGAAAAAAUCAAUGUGAGAAUUUGUAUUUAUUAAUGUUUUACCAUGAAAAUCCUAUAAUUUUGUCUGUUUGCUUUAUUGUUUCCAUAGUAACAAAAACAAUUAAUUGACAUGUAUAAAGUAUUGUUUAUUUGGUCUGUUUUACA